GCCUGGCUGGUUCAGUUGGUGGAGCAUGCGGCUCUUAAUCUCAGGGUUAUGAGUUCAAGCCCCAUGUUGGGUG
RNAcentral lists this transfer RNA (73 nucleotides) under Felis catus (domestic cat). It matches the Rfam family "tRNA". Rfam says of the family: Transfer RNA (tRNA) molecules are approximately 80 nucleotides in length. Their secondary structure includes four short double-helical elements and three loops (D, anti-codon, and T loops). Further hydrogen bonds mediate the characteristic L-shaped molecular structure. tRNAs have two regions of fundamental functional importance: the anti-codon, which is responsible for specific mRNA codon recognition, and the 3' end, to which the tRNAs corresponding amino acid is attached (by aminoacyl-tRNA synthetases). tRNAs cope with the degeneracy of the genetic code in two manners: having more than one tRNA (with a specific anti-codon) for a particular amino acid; and 'wobble' base-pairing, i.e. permitting non-standard base-pairing at the 3rd anti-codon position. Lineage: Eukaryota; Metazoa; Chordata; Mammalia; Carnivora; Felidae. RNAcentral also lists the same sequence under 1 other name. The record is from Rfam by way of RNAcentral.